GACGAACGCUGGCGGCGUGCUUAACACAUGCAAGUCGAACGGUGAAGGGACUGGUUUUGCUGGUCCUGGAUGAGUGGCGAACGGGUGAGUAACACGUGAGUAACCUGCCCCCUUCUUCUGGAUAACCGCAUGAAAGUGUGGCUAAUACGGGAUAUUCUGGGUCUGUCGCAUGGUGGGCCUGGGAAAGAUUGCGCCUUUUUUGGUGUGUUUGGUGGGGGAUGGGCUCGCGGCCUAUCAGCUUGUUGGUGGGGUGAUGGCCUACCAAGGCGGUGACGGGUAGCCGGCCUGAGAGGGUGGACGGUCACACUGGGACUGAGACACGGCCCAGACUCCUACGGAAGGCAGCAGUGGGGUAUAUUGCACUAUGGGCGCGAGCCUGAUGCAGCGACGCCGCGUGAGGGAUGGAGGCCUUCGGGUUGUGAACCUCUUUCGCCAGUGAAGCAGGCCUGCCUCUUUUUGUGGGUGGGUUGACGGUAGCUGGAUAAGAAGCGCCGGCUAACUACGUG
Molecule: ribosomal RNA, 506 nt
Filed under: uncultured bacterium
Lineage: Bacteria
Description: partial 16S ribosomal RNA
Rfam family: Bacterial small subunit ribosomal RNA
Source: RNAcentral